UCGAGUGGGUUUAGACCCACGGCGAACGGGUGAGUAAUACCUAGGAACGUAUCUUUAGUUGAGGAUAUUCCGUCGAAAGACGGUGCAAUACUCAAUGUGAUCGCAAGAUUAAAGUCGCAAGACGCUAAAGAAGCGGCCUGGGCACCAUCAGCUAGUUGGUAAGGUAAAAGCUUACCAAGGCUAUGACGGUUAGGGGUCCCGAGAGGGAGAACCCCCACACUGGAACUGCGACACGGUCCAG
RNAcentral lists this ribosomal RNA (241 nucleotides) under uncultured bacterium. RNAcentral describes it as "partial 16S ribosomal RNA". It matches the Rfam family "Bacterial small subunit ribosomal RNA", at positions 62 to 334 of the family's 1533-position model. The record is from RNAcentral.